Molecule: ribosomal RNA, 251 nt
Filed under: uncultured bacterium
Lineage: Bacteria
Description: partial 16S ribosomal RNA
Rfam family: Bacterial small subunit ribosomal RNA
Source: RNAcentral
CUAGAGACCGGCGCACGGGUGCGUAACGCGUAUGCAAUCUACCUUUCACAGCGGGAUAGCCCAGAGAAAUUUGGAUUAAUACCUCAUAGUAUAGUACCUUGGCAUCAAGGAAUUAUUAAAGAUUUAUCGGUAAAAGAUGAGCAUGCGUCCUAUUAGUUUGUAGGUGAGGUAACGGCUCACCUAGACUACGAUAGGUAGGGGCCCUGAGAGGGGGAUCCCCCACACUGGUACUGAGACACGGACCAGACUCC